Molecule: ribosomal RNA, 253 nt
Filed under: uncultured bacterium
Lineage: Bacteria
Description: partial 16S ribosomal RNA
Rfam family: Bacterial small subunit ribosomal RNA
Source: RNAcentral
UACGUAGGUGGCGAGCGUUGUCCGGAUUUACUGGGCGUAAAGGAUGCGUAGGCGGAUAUUUAAGUGAGAUGUGAAAUACCCGAGCUUAACUUGGGUGCUGCAUUUCAAACUGGAUAUCUAGAGUGUGGGAGAGGAGAAUGGAAUUCCUAGUGUAGCGGUGAAAUGCGUAGAGAUUAGGAAGAACACCAGUGGCGAAGGCGGAUCUCUGGGCCUUACCUGACGCUCAGGUGCGAAAGCUAGGGGAGCGAACAGG